Orycteropus afer afer is the source of this 71-nucleotide non-coding RNA. NCBI's taxonomy places the organism in Eukaryota, Metazoa, Chordata, Mammalia, Tubulidentata, Orycteropodidae. The record is from the annotation of a RefSeq genome assembly.
GCAGUGGUGGUUCAGUGGUAGAAUUCUUGCCUUCUACUCAGGAGACCCAGGUUCAAUUCCUGGCUAAUGUG